AGCAGCCGCGGUAAUUCCAGCUCCAAUAGCGUAUAUUAAAGUUGUUGCAGUUAAAAAGCUCGUAGUUGAAUUUCGGGGUUAGUAGGUUGGUCAUGCCUCUGGUAUGUACUGGUUUCACUGAUUCCUCCUUCCUGAUGAGCCGUAAUGCCAUUAAUUUGGUGUUGCGGGGAAUUUGGACUGUUACUUUGAAAAAAUUAGAGUGUUUAAAGCAAGCUAACGCUUGAAUACAUUAGCAUGGAAUAAUGAAAUAGGACGUUCGAUCCUAUUUUGUUGGUUUCUAGGAUUGACGUAAUGAUUAAUAGGGAUAGUUGGGGGCAUUAGUAUUCAAUUGUCAGAGGUGAAAUUCUUGGAUUUAUUGAAGACUAACUACUGCGAAAGCAUUUGCCAAGGAUGUUUUCAUUAAUCAAGAACGAAAGUUAGGGGAUCGAAGACGAUCAGAUACCGUCGUAGUCUUAACCAUAAACUAUGCCGACUAGGGAUCGGAUGAUGUUAAUUUUUUAAUGACUCA
Molecule: ribosomal RNA, 508 nt
Filed under: uncultured Glomus
Lineage: Eukaryota; Fungi; Glomeromycota; Glomeromycetes; Glomerales; Glomeraceae
Description: SSU rRNA
Rfam family: Eukaryotic small subunit ribosomal RNA
Source: RNAcentral